RNAcentral lists this ribosomal RNA (471 nucleotides) under uncultured bacterium. RNAcentral describes it as "partial 16S ribosomal RNA". It matches the Rfam family "Bacterial small subunit ribosomal RNA", at positions 28 to 506 of the family's 1533-position model. The record is from RNAcentral.
GACGAACGCUGGCGGCGUGCUUAACACAUGCAAGUCGAACGCUGAAGCUUGGUGCUUGCACUGGGUGGAUGAGUGGCGAACGGGUGAGUAAUACGUGAGUAACCUGCCCUUGACUCUGGGAUAAGCCUGGGAAACUGGGUCUAAUACUGGAUACGACAUGCCACUGCAUGGUGGUGUGUGGAAAGGGUUUUACUGGUUUUGGAUGGGCUCACGGCCUAUCAGCUUGUUGGUGGGGUAAUGGCCUACCAAGGCGACGACGGGUAGCCGGCCUGAGAGGGUGCCCGCCCAACCGGGGAUGGGGGAACGGCCCGGACCCCUAGGGGGGGAAGCGGGGGGGAAUAUUGCAAAAUGGGGGGAAGCCGGAGCCAGCGCCCCCGGGGGGGGGAGGACGGCCUUGGGGUUGUAAACCUUUUUCGCCACGGAAGAAGGGGGGGGGACGGUAGGGGCAAAAAAAGCCCCGGCUAACUACGU